Molecule: long non-coding RNA, 260 nt
Filed under: Linum usitatissimum (flax)
Lineage: Eukaryota; Viridiplantae; Streptophyta; Magnoliopsida; Malpighiales; Linaceae
Description: long non-coding RNA (LUSI_LNC000987)
Source: RNAcentral
CACCCGCCGCUGUAUGGACUCCAUUUUUGGCGGGGGACAAUUGAGAGUAAUGUGAAUAGGACGGAUAGUGCUGACAGUUGGAAAACCCAAUUGGGAACUCGACAGAUUGAGGAAAACGCGGCAACUGGAAGAAGAUGAAGAUAGUUUGCUUAGCCGUGGAAUUGAACUGUGAAAGCCUAGAGAGGAAGAAGAAAAAGAAGGGAAUCCCAGUCUGAUUGGCGGAGCCGCUGAGGUAUAUGCUUUUAUUUUUUCUUUUUUCU